RNAcentral lists this ribosomal RNA (460 nucleotides) under uncultured bacterium. RNAcentral's name for it is "partial 16S ribosomal RNA". It matches the Rfam family "Bacterial small subunit ribosomal RNA", at positions 338 to 795 of the family's 1533-position model. The record is from RNAcentral.
CCUACGGGUGGCAGCAGUGAGGAAUAUUGGUCAAUGGACGGAAGUCUGAACCAGCCAUGCCGCGUGCAGGAAGACGGCUCUAUGAGUUGUAAACUGCUUUUGUACAAGGGUAAACCUGAAUACGUGUAUUCAGCUGAAAGUACUGUACGAAUAAGGAUCGGCUAACUCCGUGCCAGCAGCCGCGGUAAUACGGAGGAUCCAAGCGUUAUCCGGAUUUAUUGGGUGUAAAGGGUGCGUAGGCGGAGUGAUAAGUUAGAGGUGAAAUGUCCGAGCUUAACUCGGGAACUGCCUCUAAUACUGUUGGUCUAGAGAGUAGAUGCGGUAGGCGGAAUGUAUGGUGUAGCGGUGAAAUGCUUAGAGAUCAUACAGAACACCGAUUGCGAAGGCAGCUUACCAAGCUAUAUCUGACGUUGAGGCACGAAAGCGUGGGGAGCAAACAGGAUUAGAUACCCUAGUAGUC